RNAcentral lists this ribosomal RNA (817 nucleotides) under uncultured bacterium. Its description in RNAcentral is "bacterial SSU rRNA". It matches the Rfam family "Bacterial small subunit ribosomal RNA", at positions 8 to 796 of the family's 1533-position model. The record is from RNAcentral.
AGAGUUUGAUCAUGGCUCAGGACAAACGCUGGCGGCGUGCCUAAUACAUGCAAGUCGAACGGUCCUCCUACGGGGGGAUAGUGGCGGACGGGUGAGUAACACGUAGAUGACCUGCCCUGUAGUGGGGAAUAACAACUCGAAAGAGUUGCUAAUACCGCAUGUGUUCUCUCUUGUUGGAGGGAGAAGAAAUCUCUUUGGUGAUACAAAGGGAGCUAGAGGAGGGGUCUGCGGCGGAUUAGCUAGUUGGUGGGGUAACGGCUCACCAAGGCAGCGAUCCGUAGCUGGUCUGAGAGGACGGCCAGCCACACUGGGACUGAGACACGGCCCAGACUCCUACGGGAGGCAGCAGUAAGGAAUAUUCCGCAAUGGGCGCAAGCCUGACGGAGCGACGCCGCGUGAAGGAGGAAGCCCUUCGGGGUGUAAACUUCUUUUGUUGGGGAUGACACAUCUUCCCAGGGGGCCUCGCAAGAGACCCUCGGAGGGAAGGUUAGGACAGUACCCGACGAAUAAGCCUCGGCUAACUACGUGCCAGCAGCCGCGGUAAUACGUAGGAGGCGAGCGUUGUCCGGAUUUACUGGGCGUAAAGGGCGCGCAGGCGGCCCACCAAGUACGAUGUGAAAUCUCCCUGCUCAACGGGGAGGGUGCACUGUAAACUGGUGAGCUAGAGGACGGUAGAGGGGGGUGGAAUUGCUGGUGUAGCGGUGAAAUGCGUAGAGAUCAGCAGGAACACCCGUGGCGAAGGCGGCCCCCUGGGCCGUACCUGACGCUGAGGCGCGAAGGCUAGGGGAGCGAACGGGAUUAGAUACCCCGGUAGUCC